This 680-nucleotide ribosomal RNA is filed under the name Escherichia coli. Its description in RNAcentral is "partial 23S ribosomal RNA". It matches the Rfam family "Bacterial large subunit ribosomal RNA", at positions 612 to 1291 of the family's 2925-position model. Lineage: Bacteria; Pseudomonadati; Pseudomonadota; Gammaproteobacteria; Enterobacterales; Enterobacteriaceae. The record is from RNAcentral.
AUAAUGGGUCAGCGACUUAUAUUCUGUAGCAAGGUUAACCGAAUAGGGGAGCCGAAGGGAAACCGAGUCUUAACUGGGCGUUAAGUUGCAGGGUAUAGACCCGAAACCCGGUGAUCUAGCCAUGGGCAGGUUGAAGGUUGGGUAACACUAACUGGAGGACCGAACCGACUAAUGUUGAAAAAUUAGCGGAUGACUUGUGGCUGGGGGUGAAAGGCCAAUCAAACCGGGAGAUAGCUGGUUCUCCCCGAAAGCUAUUUAGGUAGCGCCUCGUGAAUUCAUCUCCGGGGGUAGAGCACUGUUUCGGCAAGGGGGUCAUCCCGACUUACCAACCCGAUGCAAACUGCGAAUACCGGAGAAUGUUAUCACGGGAGACACACGGCGGGUGCUAACGUCCGUCGUGAAGAGGGAAACAACCCAGACCGCCAGCUAAGGUCCCAAAGUCAUGGUUAAGUGGGAAACGAUGUGGGAAGGCCCAGACAGCCAGGAUGUUGGCUUAGAAGCAGCCAUCAUUUAAAGAAAGCGUAAUAGCUCACUGGUCGAGUCGGCCUGCGCGGAAGAUGUAACGGGGCUAAACCAUGCACCGAAGCUGCGGCAGCGACGCUGAUGCGUUGUUGGGUAGGGGAGCGUUCUGUAAGCCUGUGAAGGUGUGCUGUGAGGCAUGCUGGAGGUAUCAGAAGUGC